ACGUGUCCGACAUUGCUUUCUGCGGUUCCACGUCAGUUUUAGCUCCCUCCACCCCCGCAGGCCACGUUUAAAGGGCCAGUGCUGGGCGCUCAAUCCGGGAUGGCUUGGAGCCCGGAAGAUAGUUCCUGGAAGCCAGGGUAGGUAGGAGGCAUGAAGACUGGAGCCACACCUGUUCUUUGUGGGAAACCCAGGUGGAAACCCAGAUCCAGGUACACGUACAUUCCUCAGCAUCCCACUCACCUUCUGCCCCCUUGCAGCAGCUAGUUGCUGGGCAACCCAAGGUGGCAGUUCACCGCGGAAGGAGCUGGAAGUGCCUCUAGGUCUGGGAUUUAACCCGCGACUUGAGCUUGGUCUGGGAUCACUGCAUGUUGCUAAGCUCCUAAAACAAGGAAGGGGGGCUGACGCCUACCCACACGUAGCUUUCCAUGAAUCUGCAGAUCUCUUAGGUUUUCUUUCUUAACACUGUUCCCCUGCAAGUAACGGUUCACCUGCAGUGUCAUUACCUUUCAUUCCCCCACAAGUGGCAAAUUAUUUCCAUUCCUCAGAAAGGACAUCAUCGCCGGGGAGUUAGGGAGGUGACGCAGCCUACCACUUUGUCCAUCGGUUCAAAUACGACUUGUUCCAGGGGUCAUUGGGGGUUGACUGUUUUUAGAGCAAAUAUAGUCUUUCUUUUCCCUUAAAAUCAGAUGCGAAAUGUCUCUUCUACUUGAGUGUGACUGUAAUUAACAACAACAAACCAUAUUUAUAUAUCUAUAUCGUAGUGACCACUCUUCUUCAGCAUUCAAGCGGAUGCUUUGAACACAUAGCAGGAAAGGCACAAAAUUCAAUUGAGCCAAGUUUAUUACUCUCUUUGAUAAGUCUGAUAAUAAACUGGGCAUUUGUUUGUGUGUGUA
This is a long non-coding RNA of Cavia porcellus (domestic guinea pig), 893 nucleotides long. RefSeq lists it as uncharacterized. The record is from RefSeq and is a predicted model, not a curated record. Lineage: Eukaryota; Metazoa; Chordata; Mammalia; Rodentia; Caviidae. The transcript has 2 exons.